Molecule: transfer RNA, 82 nt
Filed under: Spirochaetaceae bacterium
Lineage: Bacteria; Pseudomonadati; Spirochaetota; Spirochaetia; Spirochaetales; Spirochaetaceae
Description: tRNA-Tyr
Rfam family: tRNA
About the family: Transfer RNA (tRNA) molecules are approximately 80 nucleotides in length. Their secondary structure includes four short double-helical elements and three loops (D, anti-codon, and T loops).
Source: RNAcentral
GGGGAGAUUCCAGAGUGGUCAAAUGGGGCAGACUGUAAAUCUGUUGGCUCAGCCUUCGGAGGUCCAAAUCCUUCUCUCCCCA